This 465-nucleotide ribosomal RNA is filed under the name uncultured bacterium. RNAcentral describes it as "bacterial SSU rRNA". It matches the Rfam family "Bacterial small subunit ribosomal RNA", at positions 917 to 1382 of the family's 1533-position model. The record is from RNAcentral.
GGGCCCGCACAAGCGGCGGAGCAUGUGGAUUAAUUCGAUGCAACGCGAAGAACCUUACCUGGGUUUGACAUACACCAGACGCCAGCAGAGAUGUUGGUUCCCUUGUGGUUGGUGUACAGGUGGUGCAUGGCUGUCGUCAGCUCGUGUCGUGAGAUGUUGGGUUAAGUCCCGCAACGAGCGCAACCCUUGUCCUGUAUUGCCAGCGGGUUAUGCCGGGGACUUGCAGGAGACUGCCGGGGUCAACUCGGAGGAAGGUGGGGAUGACGUCAAGUCAUCAUGCCCCUUAUGUCCAGGGCUUCACACAUGCUACAAUGGCUGGUACAGAGGGCUGCGAUACCGUGAGGUGGAGCGAAUCCCUUAAAGCCAGUCUCAGUUCGGAUUGGGGUCUGCAACUCGACCCCAUGAAGUCGGAGUCGCUAGUAAUCGCAGAUCAGCAACGCUGCGGUGAAUACGUUCCCGGGCCUU